This is a long non-coding RNA of Syngnathus acus (greater pipefish), 145 nucleotides long. RefSeq lists it as uncharacterized. Lineage: Eukaryota; Metazoa; Chordata; Actinopteri; Syngnathiformes; Syngnathidae. The record is from RefSeq and is a predicted model, not a curated record. The transcript has 3 exons.
GUUUAAUAUACACUUAUUGAUACACAAACAAUUUAUGUAUGUUAAAAAAAGGGUGACACUACUUCGCGGAUUUUCACAUAUUGCGGGUGGUCUUGAAACCAAUUAUCCACGAUAAACGUGGGAUUACUGUAUACGCAAAAACCCG